This 307-nucleotide long non-coding RNA is filed under the name Androctonus crassicauda. Lineage: Eukaryota; Metazoa; Arthropoda; Arachnida; Scorpiones; Buthidae. The record is from RNAcentral.
CAUUGUCACAGUAAGCUACAUUUUCCCCAUGAUUCAUUUUGUGUAAAACAAAAUGGAUGCUAAGCAAUGAAAGGCACAUGCUGUUUACAAAUGAUAUUAACAACUGCAGUAAAUGAGGAAACUGAAACAAAAUUGAGGAAGAGAAAGUGUUUGUUUGAAGAUAUUUUUAAAAAGAGAUAUGAACAAGAUUUCUAUACAAAUUUGAUUAAGCAGAUGAGAUUUAAGCCUAGAACACACCGAGACUUUUCUUUGCAGAAAUGCAGAAAGUCUGGCAAAAAGCAGAAAGAAAUUUAUGCAUAUCUAAACA